CUUAAAAUUCCUCUGUGCACAUCAGAGAGUGAAGCUGGAUUUUCAAAAUGUCCACGCUUGCUCCAGUCGCUCACUGCUCUCUUUCAUCUGUUAAACAGAGACAAAUCUGUCUGCAGCUUUCAAUACUCCACCAGAAAAGCACAGAGCAGAACUCUGAGGACAGAGACAGAGAGAUGCAUGAAAAUGGAUGUGUGGAGGAAUGGAGGGACAGAAGAAAGG
Long non-coding RNA from Poecilia latipinna (sailfin molly), 219 nucleotides. RefSeq lists it as uncharacterized. NCBI's taxonomy places the organism in Eukaryota, Metazoa, Chordata, Actinopteri, Cyprinodontiformes, Poeciliidae. The record is from RefSeq and is a predicted model, not a curated record. The transcript has 3 exons.